UACGUAGGGGGCGAGCGUUGUCCGGAAUUACUGGGCGUAAAGAGCGCGUAGGCGGCGCGGUGCAUCCGCUGUGAAAGCCUCCGGCUCAACUGGGGGAGGCCAGCGGCGAUGGCCGCGCUGUGAGGGUGGUAGAGGCAGGUGGAAGUCCCGAAGUAGUGGUGAAAUGCGUAGAGAUCGGGAGGAACACCAGUGGCGAAGGCGGCCUGCUGGGCCACGCCUGACGCUGAGGCGCGAAAGCCAGGGGA
RNAcentral lists this ribosomal RNA (245 nucleotides) under uncultured bacterium. Its description in RNAcentral is "partial 16S ribosomal RNA". It matches the Rfam family "Bacterial small subunit ribosomal RNA", at positions 524 to 767 of the family's 1533-position model. The record is from RNAcentral.